UUACUGCUAUCGAGGUUCGACUAAGCCAUGCGAGUCGAAUGUAGCAAUACAUGGCGAACUGCUCAGUAACACGUGGACAACCUGCCCUUAGGACGGGAUAAACCCGGGAAACUGGGUAUAAUACCCGAUAGGUCUCGAUUGCUGGAAUGCAUCGAGAUUUAAAGCUCCGGCGCCUAAGGAUGGGUCUGCGGCCUAUCAGGUAGUAGUGGGUGUAGCGUACCUACUAGCCUACGACGGGUACGGGUUGUGAGAGCAAGAGCCCGGAGAUGGAUUCUGAGACACGAAUCCAGGCCCUACGGGGUGCAGCAGGCGCGAAAACUUUACAAUGCUGGCAACAGCGAUAAGGGAACCUCGAGUGCCAGGUUACAAAUCUGGCUGUCGAGAUGCCUAAAAAGCAUUUCAUAGCAAGGGCCGGGCAAGACCGGUGCCAGCCGCCGCGGUAACACCGGCGGCUCGAGUGGUAACCGUUAUUAUUGGGUCUAAAGGGUCUGUAGCCGGCCGGAUAAGUCUCUUGAGAAAUCUGGCAGCUUAACUGUCAGGCUUUCAGGAGAUACUGUCUGGCUCGAGGCCGGGAGAGGUGAGAGGUACUUCAGGGGUAGGGGUGAAAUCUUGUAAUCCUUGAAGGACCACCAGUGGCGAAGGCGUCUCACCAGAACGGACCUGACGGCAAGGGACGAAAGCUAGGGGCACGAACCGGAUUAGAUACCCGGGUAGUCCUAGCCGUAAACGAUACUCGCUAGGUGUCGGCCACGGUGCGACCGUUGUCGGUGCCGUAGGGAAGCCGUGAAGCGAGCCACCUGGGAAGUACGGCCGCAAGGCUGAAACUUAAAGGAAUUGGCGGGGGAGCACCACAACGGGUGGAGCUUGCGGUUUAAUUGGAUUCAACGCCGGGAAGGGC
RNAcentral lists this ribosomal RNA (898 nucleotides) under uncultured archaeon. Its description in RNAcentral is "bacterial SSU rRNA". It matches the Rfam family "Archaeal small subunit ribosomal RNA", at positions 24 to 928 of the family's 1478-position model. The record is from RNAcentral.